GGGAAUGUAGCUUAGUGGUAGAGUGCUUGCCUAGCAUGCAAGAAGCCCUGGGUUCCAUUCCUC
Molecule: transfer RNA, 63 nt
Filed under: Dipodomys ordii (Ord's kangaroo rat)
Lineage: Eukaryota; Metazoa; Chordata; Mammalia; Rodentia; Heteromyidae
Rfam family: tRNA
About the family: Transfer RNA (tRNA) molecules are approximately 80 nucleotides in length. Their secondary structure includes four short double-helical elements and three loops (D, anti-codon, and T loops).
Source: Rfam by way of RNAcentral